Molecule: microRNA precursor, 85 nt
Filed under: Colobus angolensis palliatus
Lineage: Eukaryota; Metazoa; Chordata; Mammalia; Primates; Cercopithecidae
Description: miRNA (ENSCANG00000038449.1)
Source: RNAcentral
UAUUAAAUUGGUGCAAAAGUAAUUGCACUUUUUUGCCAUUAAAAGUAAUGACAAAAACUGCAAUUACUUUCGUGCCAACCUAAUA